Long non-coding RNA from Oxyura jamaicensis (ruddy duck), 262 nucleotides. RefSeq lists it as uncharacterized. The transcript is spliced from 3 exons. Lineage: Eukaryota; Metazoa; Chordata; Aves; Anseriformes; Anatidae. The record is from RefSeq and is a predicted model, not a curated record.
AACUUGUAAAAUUUCUAAUAAAAAAAAAUAAACUCUCAGUCUAAUAAAAUGACUGAUCACACUGGACUUGCAAAAGAAAUAAUGGAACAAGAAUCUCAGCAGGAAUAAAGACUUCAGUCUAUACAUAGUCCAAAGACUUCAAUGGGAGAACAAAAUCGUGACUCAGUUCAGGAACGAAAAGGAUGGAGGUGAAGUCUAAUGAGGCUAUUCGCAUUAAGUCAAAGAAAUAAAAGAUAACACCAGUUGCUAUAUACACCCCACC